CAGUAGCCGCGGUAAUACGAAGGGGGCUAGCGUUGCUCGGAAUGACUGGGCGUAAAGGGCGCGUAGGCGGAUUGUUUAGUUAGGCGUGAAAUUCCUGGGCUUAACCUGGGGACUGCGCUUAAUACAGGCAGUCUAGAGUGAGGAAGAGGGUUGUGGAAUUCCCAGUGUAGAGGUGAAAUUCGUAGAUAUUGGGAAGAACACCGGUGGCGAAGGCGGCAACCUGGUCCUUGACUGACGCUGAGGCGCGAAAGCGUGGGGAGCAAACAGGAUUAGAUACCCCCGUAGUCCCUGUCUCUUAUAC
This 301-nucleotide ribosomal RNA is filed under the name uncultured bacterium. RNAcentral describes it as "partial 16S ribosomal RNA". It matches the Rfam family "Bacterial small subunit ribosomal RNA", at positions 509 to 807 of the family's 1533-position model. The record is from RNAcentral.